RNAcentral lists this ribosomal RNA (253 nucleotides) under uncultured bacterium. RNAcentral describes it as "partial 16S ribosomal RNA". It matches the Rfam family "Bacterial small subunit ribosomal RNA", at positions 524 to 776 of the family's 1533-position model. The record is from RNAcentral.
UACGGAGGGGGCAAGCGUUGUUCGGAAUGACUGGGCGUAAAGGGCGCGUAGGCGGACGGCUUAGUCAGGCGUGAAAGGCCUGGGCUUAACCUGGGGACUGCGUUUGAUACGGGUUGUCUUGAGUGGGGAAGAGGGUCGUGGAAUUCCCAGUGUAGAGGUGAAAUUCGUAGAUAUUGGGAAGAACACCGGUGGCGAAGGCGGCGACCUGGUCCUUGACUGACGCUGAGGCGCGAAAGCGUGGGGAGCAAACAGG